CCUACGGGUGGCAGCAGUGAGGAAUAUUGGUCAAUGGGCGCGAGUCUGAACCAGCCAAGCCGCGUGAGGGAUGACGGCUCUAUGAGUUGUAAACUUCUUUUGUCGGAGAGUAAAUCCCGGUACGUGUGUCGGUUGGAGAGUAUCCGACGAAUAAGCAUCGGCUAACUCCGUGCCAGCAGCCGCGGUAAUACGGAGGAUUCAAGCGUUAUCCGGCUUUAUUGGGUUUAAAGGGUGCGUAGGCGGUUCGUUAAGUUAGCGGUGAAAUUCCGGGGCUCAACUCCGGCGGAGCCUUUGAAACUGGCGGGCUUGAGUGGAGGUGAGGUACGCGGAAUGCAUGGUGUAGCGGUGAAAUGCAUAGAGAUCACGCAGAACACCGAUUGCGAAGGCAGCGUACC
Molecule: ribosomal RNA, 395 nt
Filed under: uncultured bacterium
Lineage: Bacteria
Description: partial 16S ribosomal RNA
Rfam family: Bacterial small subunit ribosomal RNA
Source: RNAcentral